Potamilus streckersoni is the source of this 68-nucleotide non-coding RNA. The record is from the annotation of a GenBank genome assembly. Lineage: Eukaryota; Metazoa; Mollusca; Bivalvia; Unionida; Unionidae.
GGUGGCCUAGUUGUUAAAGUUUCUGCCUCAGAUGCAGGAGGUCGUGGGUUUGAUCCCCGGUCGAGUCG